RNAcentral lists this ribosomal RNA (729 nucleotides) under Vibrio parahaemolyticus. RNAcentral's name for it is "partial 23S ribosomal RNA". It matches the Rfam family "Bacterial large subunit ribosomal RNA", at positions 476 to 1209 of the family's 2925-position model. Lineage: Bacteria; Pseudomonadati; Pseudomonadota; Gammaproteobacteria; Vibrionales; Vibrionaceae. RNAcentral also lists the same sequence under 1 other name. The record is from RNAcentral.
CUGACUGACCGAUAGUGAACCAGUACCGUGAGGGAAAGGCGAAAAGAACCCCUGUGAGGGGAGUGAAAUAGAACCUGAAACCGUGUACGUACAAGCAGUAGGAGCAGGCUUGUCCUGUGACUGCGUACCUUUUGUAUAAUGGGUCAGCGACUUAUAUUCAGUGGCAAGGUUAACCAUCUAGGGGAGCCGUAGGGAAACCGAGUCUUAACUGGGCGUUCAGUCUCUGGAUAUAGACCCGAAACCAGGUGAUCUAGCCAUGGGCAGGUUGAAGGUUGAGUAACAUCAACUGGAGGACCGAACCGACUAAUGUUGAAAAAUUAGCGGAUGACUUGUGGCUAGGGGUGAAAGGCCAAUCAAACCUGGAGAUAGCUGGUUCUCCCCGAAAGCUAUUUAGGUAGCGCCUCGGACGAAUACUACUGGGGGUAGAGCACUGUUAAGGCUAGGGGGUCAUCCCGACUUACCAACCCUUUGCAAACUCCGAAUACCAGUAAGUACUAUCCGGGAGACACACGGCGGGUGCUAACGUCCGUCGUGGAGAGGGAAACAACCCAGACCGCCAGCUAAGGUCCCAAAUUACUACUAAGUGGGAAACGAUGUGGGAAGGCUCAGACAGCCAGGAUGUUGGCUUAGAAGCAGCCAUCAUUUAAAGAAAGCGUAAUAGCUCACUGGUCGAGUCGGCCUGCGCGGAAGAUGUAACGGGGCUAAGUAGUAAACCGAAGCUGCGGCAAU